Long non-coding RNA from Carya illinoinensis, 4443 nucleotides. RefSeq lists it as uncharacterized. The record is from RefSeq and is a predicted model, not a curated record. NCBI's taxonomy places the organism in Eukaryota, Viridiplantae, Streptophyta, Magnoliopsida, Fagales, Juglandaceae. The transcript is spliced from 4 exons.
AUAUGUAAAAACUAGAUUCAAUGUCCACCGGCGAAAAAUAUAGAUCUCUUUUAAUGUCAAGCCUAUCGAUGGAUGAACAGGAAUGAGCAGUGAUUUUAUCCCGCUUCUGCCAUUCUCUGUUCCCUUUUCCUUCCGAGUUCCCUCUCUCAAGUCUCAACUCGAACCCUCUCUCUUCUCUGUGUCUCCACUUCAAGGCCCUUGCCACAGUCAGGAACCGCGAAGCACACCGAAUAGGAGGGCUUUGUCGUCCCUCGCUGUCUGAUGCUUCUUUCUCGAACAAAAACCAAAGCCCAUAGAGACAGAGAAUGUGAGGCUUCCAAAUGUAUUCCUAGGGCUCGACGGAAACCACCUCUCCACGGUUGACGGCAGCCAGCUUGACGGAAACUCUGCUCAGGGGCUUCUGAUUCUUCACCUAGGGUUCUUCACGUUCGACGGAAACCACCUUCGGAAUCUUCACCGACGACAUCUUUGCCUAGGGUUUCUUUCUCAGCACGCCAUUUCUGUCUCUCUCUGUUUUUAUUUUUUUGGUUUUGGAAGGCUUUCGAAUGUAUUUCUUGGGUUCGAUGGAAAGUACCUCUUCACAAUCGACGACAGCUAGCUCGACGAAAACUCUGCUCAGAGGCUUCGGAAUUUUUGCCGAUGGAAUCUUCGCCUAGGGUUUUGGCAGCCGUGGAGCGCGCCAAACAGUAGCCUUCCUUCAAGCAGCAGCAGCUUUCUCUCGGUUUCUCUUAUGCUUCCCUCCUUCAAACCACCAAAUAUUUUCACCCAACUCACAAGCUUGGCGAAGGUGGCUUUGGACCCGUAUAAAAGGAGAAGCUUUUGAAGGGAAUGAAGAGGACAAGGCACUUAUGGGGUUUCUUGAUGAGUUGAAAGAUCAGGUGGCAUCAGAAAGUAGCAUACCUCUGUCACCCCAGUGGCUUUUUGCCAAACCAAAUGAGUCUAAGAUGGUAUAAUUCUAUUUCUUUUUGCUUCUCUUUUGGCAACAAAGUGACAUAGACGUGCAAACAUUAUCUUAUUUUGUGUCCAUGGUGGAGGUUCUGAUAUAUAUAUAUAUAUCUACUGUAUCAAAUGGUGUUUUUUAGUAUUUGGAGCCCAGUUGGUAUCUUGACUACAAACUUGUCACUAUCUAAAUGCAACUUCUAUUUUGCCAAAAAAAAAAGAUUCUUUGAAUUUGCUUGUUAGUUGGUGUCCUAACUAAGUUGUUGGUAAUCUCUUUCAGUGUCUUAUAGGGAGUAUACAAGAGAGAACACGUAAUUACAAUUUAGGAGCUAGAAAAGUAUACAAGAAAAUCAAGAAAAUUAACCCCAAACAACAAAAAAUAAAAAAUAAAAAUUGCAAAGACCCAAAGAAAUAACAAUGGACGGAAAGAGAAACAUCUAAGCCCUUGUGACUAGCAUUCCCAGUCUUCAUGACUCCGGCCAUUCCUUUCAAGCCAAAUACACCACAUGAGGCAAAGGAAUGAUUUUCCAUAUGGCCGCCAUUUUGGGAUUACCUGAAAACCUCUCAAACAAUCUAGAAGAUCCACCACCCUUCUAGGCUUCUCGUGGGAAUUCUGUUACAGAAAAUUUGUUUUUUAAUUUUUUUUCCCCACCCAUUCAUCAUCCCUCCCUUUGGUAAGCAUACCCUUUAUAUAUGAAUUUUUCAAGGCUAAAGUGAUAGGUUGGCAUCCUGCAGCACUCUGAGGUGCAUAUGUGCCUUUCCUUGAUGUUCCUGUUAGAUGUUAGAUAUUCUCCCGAGAAUUAGAUUAUAUUUGAGUUUGGGCAUUUUUAAUAGUUGCAACCUAUAUGCAUAUAAAAAAAAAAAAAUUAUUAUUGAAACAUAGACAUUAAGGUAGCUGUCAAUUUAGAGCUAAUUUUGAUGAUUGAGUUGGUCUGGAUAUGAUCAUGGAGCACAUUCUUGACGGUAGCUCCCGUUUUGUACAUCAGUCUUUAAUUGUUUUUAAAGGGGACGGUACCCUGUAAAUUUUUACACCAAUUUUCUAUUUAAAAAACAAGAGAUAAUGGAAAACUAGCAUAAAUAGAGGUGCCUGUUUCCACUAAUAAAAGAAGUACGAGUUAAAUGGUGACCCCAACUAGACAUAUUGCUUUCAAUUAAAUUCAUGAGAAGGUGAUCUUGGGGUUUUCUUCUGGCAGAGGUUGGGGGGUUUUCUUCCGGCACUCGAGAUUCUGUCUUGGAGACGGGACUAGAAUCAAAUUCUAGCAAGAUUCUUGGAGUGGUCCUGAUGCACUAAAGGAACUAUUUCCAGAACUUUUCAGGGUCGCAGUUGCUAAGAAUGCUUCAGUGGCAGAUGUCAUGGUGAUAACAGGAGGACACAUCCAGUGGAACAUCACGUUUAGUCGGGUGGCAAAUGAUUGGGAAAUGGACAGCUAUGCAGCCUUUUUCAGUAUGUUGUACUCUAUCAAACCGAAUAACCAGCAUACCGACAUAUUGUGGUGGAUUCCUACAGGUAAAGGAGUAUUCUCGGUUCGCUCGUACUAUAAAUCCCUUUCACAUGAGCUCCCUGUUCAGUUCCCUUGGAAAAGGAUUUGGAGACACAAGGCGCCCCUCAAACCAGCUUUUUUUGUAUGGACCGCUUUUUAGGGCAAGAUCCUCACAACGGACAAUUUGAGAAAACAGAGGGUGAUUAUCGCAGAUUGGUGUUGUAUGUGUAGGAAGGGGGGUGAAUUGGUGGAUCUUCUACUGCAUUGUGGUGUGGCCAGUUGGUUAUGGAACGAGGUUUUUAGUAGAUUGGAUUUGGGAUGGGUUAUGCCCGAGACAGUAGUGGCGGUUUUGGCUAGCUGGACAGAUUUACGAGGCAAUCAAAGGAUCAAGGCUGUGUGGAAGAUGAUUCCUAUAUGCAUCAUGUGGUGCGUGUGGCAGGAGCGCAAUGAUCGGAGCUUCGAGGACAAAGAGAGAUCGAGGGAGGAACUAAUAGCUUUGUUUUUUAGAACUCUUUGUACUUGGGCCACAACUGUUAUUUUUAAUGGGCCACUCCAUGACAGCCUUGUAUCUAUACUCCCUACGUAGCUAGGGCAUACUUUUGUACUUCAUAUGGCUUUUGCCUAUUCUUUCAUUAAUACACUUGAUUACUUAUAAAAAAAAAAAAAAAAAAAUUAAAUUCAUGAGAAGGUGAGGGUGGCACCAUUUGAGAUCAAAGGGAGAGAGUGGUGCAUCAGAGGCUUUCAAAUGCACCAGUGUGAAAGAGUGAUUUAUCAAAGUGGAAAAAUAAAAAGUGGGAGAAAGGGAGGCAAAAAAUUAUUUAACUUGAAAUUAUAAGGCUGAAACACGUGGUUGUUCAAUAGAGAAUUGAGGAUAUAAUACUAGAUGGAGUUGAGUGGUAGAAAAUAAUCCAUUCAGCAGGCCCCAAUUAGUUUAUAUUGAGGCUCAUUUCCCUGUUAAAAAAAAAAAAAAAAAGUUCAUUGUGAUAUCCCAUAUGGUAAGAGGAUAAGGUAGGUAUUGUAUGGGAUCCCACACUGCUCGGUAAGGGGAAGUCCCGAUGUGGCCAUGUGGUCAUUUGUUUAUGGAAGUUAAUAUUUUAAACCUAUUGUCAAAAUCAUUGUAUAUGAUUCGCUAUAUACCAAUACUUUUGUGCAGGUAUUGUGACACGUGAUGAAAUAAUUGGCUUGUACUGGGGUUUUGUUCCCAAUGCUUUAAAAACCCUACCAAGUAGCAGGUUUGGAUUAAUAGCAGUUUCAUUUCAUACAGAAUGUAACCUUGGAUUUUUUUUCUUGUCGUGAUCGGUUAGUACAGUAGUAUAAUUUGUGCAGUCACUUUUAAAAAUUCCAACCAUGCUUCUUGCAUAAUUGAGUUGAUUCUUAAAUCUUUGGUCUCUUUCUUUUCUUUUUCUUAAGCAAACGAAUAGAAUUUUAUCAUUAUCAUUUUUCCUAAACUUUGUACAUGAUAAAUCAUUUGAGAGAUGAAUUUUUGUGGCAGUAAGGAAAUAGGAUGCCGAUUCUUUCUGUGGAAAUCAUUUUCCAUCAAGAUACCAGCUCCCUAUGUUGUUGAUUAACUAUGAUCUGUCAAGACUCUUUAGCUUGCAUUGAUACCUUGUUUGAAGGUUCUGUUUUGUUAUUCAAUCAAUUAUGCUUAUUUUGAACUCUUCCCAUUUCUUGUAGUAAUAACAUAAUUGAAGAUUCACUGAUGACUACUGCAUAAUAGGCAUGGAAAUGAUCUACCUGCAAUGUACUGAAAUGAAAUUAUUGAUAUGCUUUAGCGUUCCCAGAAGAGCAAAAGCAUCUAGUGAAACAGCUUCUGAGUUCAAGGAAAGUCCAUCAGUUCCUAUUAACUUCUAACCGACACUUGCAAUAAGCAUAAAAAUGGUCUGAAGUCCCACACCACCAAUUUAGUUUUCUUUGCGGGAACUACAUGAACCUGUUUUGUUAUGUGUUUCAUAAUUUCAUAUUUUUUUAUAUUAAUAAAAUAUAAUAGUACUCUCAACUGGGCAUACGUGCCUCAGUUUGUACA